RNAcentral lists this ribosomal RNA (453 nucleotides) under uncultured Acetobacterium sp. RNAcentral's name for it is "bacterial SSU rRNA". It matches the Rfam family "Bacterial small subunit ribosomal RNA", at positions 929 to 1382 of the family's 1533-position model. Lineage: Bacteria; Bacillati; Bacillota; Clostridia; Eubacteriales; Eubacteriaceae. The record is from RNAcentral.
GCAGCGGAGCAUGUGGUUUAAUUCGAAGCAACACGUAAGAACCUUACCAGGUCUUGACAUCCUCUGACAAUCUGAGAGAUCAGACUUUCCCUUCGGGGACAGAGAGACAGGUGGUGCAUGGUUGUCGUCAGCUCGUGUCGUGAGAUGUUGGGUUAAGUCCCGCAACGAGCGCAACCCCUGUGGUUAGUUGCCAUCAUUUAGUUGGGCACUCUAAGCAGACUGCCGGGGAUAACACGGAGGAAGGUGGGGACGACGUCAAAUCAUCAUGCCCCUUAUGACCUGGGCUACACACGUGCUACAAUGGUCUGAACAGAGGGCUGCGAAACCGCGAGGUGAAGCUAAUCCCUUAAAACAGAUCUCAGUUCGGAUUGCAGGCUGCAACUCGCCUGCAUGAAGUUGGAGUUGCUAGUAAUCGCAAAUCAGAAUGCUGCGGUGAAUGCGUUCCCGGGUCUU